Molecule: long non-coding RNA, 7883 nt
Organism: Gasterosteus aculeatus aculeatus (three-spined stickleback)
Lineage: Eukaryota; Metazoa; Chordata; Actinopteri; Perciformes; Gasterosteidae
Source: Ensembl
UAUAGUUCAAGACAAAUUUACAAAUACAAUGUAAACAUAUUCUUUCAAGUAAAUGAACUGAAUAUUCUACAUUUUCAUAAAGAAUAAAGUAUCCUUUAUUAAUCCCCUUGAGGAAAUCCAACCCUGUGGGAGCUUUGUGCGGCUGCAGAGGCGCCCGAAGUAGAAAGAUAAAUGUGUGUGAGAGAGACAGACGACCAGCAGGCCAGAACGCUGCUGUUCCCUGUCUUCUCUCAGAUUGACUCAACGUUUCCUCUUCUCACACUGUCACGGUGCGGAUUCUUGGGGGGGGGCGUACAGAUUCAAUACGUUUUAUUGGUUUUCUUUAUGCAGAAUCUGCGAGCUCUCCCGGCGUCUCGCUCUCUCGCCGUCGAACUCUCCUCCCGCUCUCCGCUACUGCAUUUUAAAACCACAAUACAAACAGUUAGUGUGCAAUCAGCUCAGCUGAGGCCAAUUGCCUCCACCUGCCACCGUUCCCUGAGCCACUCCCUUCUCCGUCCCCUCUGCAGCCGAGCCCAACCACGCCCGCCACCACACACACCAACCACACUCGACUGGUAAGGCACUGACGGAGUGCUGCUGGAGGAGCUGGUUAAACACGGGAAGGUGGUGUCCCCGUUUAAAAAACUGUCCUCAGGGUGCAAGUCACCUUUAUUGAGGCAUGUGGUGUCUCAUAGGAGGCAACUCCACAUGGUCCUCACCAAACCCCAGCGAGUGUGGGAGGGGGUGAGGGCCAGCCGGGCGGGCAGGUGGGUGAGGAGGAGAGUGUGGGAUUGGGUGAGGGCCAGCCGGGCGGGCAGGUGGGUGAGGAGGAGAGUGUGGGAUUGGGUGAGGGCCAGCCGGGCGGGCAGGUGGGUGAGGGGGUGACUGUGGGGACGGGUAAGGGGGUGAGUGUGGGAUUGGGUGAGGGCCAGCCGGUCGGUCAGGUGGAUGAGGGGUCAGAGGGAAUGAAUGUCAGAGUGGAUGGGGGGUUGAAUGCAACCCAGCGGGCAGGUGUGUGUGACAGAGUGGAAGAGGGGAUGGGGGCACUCGGUAGUGGGGGAGCUGUUCGAGGUGGAACCUCGGACAACGAGGAAGAUAUGGAAGAGGGGGGGGGUGGGCUUUACGGCCCCCCGCCUGAAGAGGAAGACGAGGGCCAACAGGGGAGGCUCUCGGGCAAAGAGGGGGGGGCGCAGAGGGAAGGUGGGGAGUCAGAGUCCUCUUCAGGGUGGGCCUCUAACAACAGCGUCUCCUCAGGUGGGACGGUCACCAGCAGGCACGGGGUGGGGCGGAUGAAAUCGUUCCUGCUGGCCACCAAGAAUCAGAGAGGAGUGGAGCUGGAGGACUACUUCUCCGACUUCGCUCGCUCCGUUCAACACGGCUGCACGAAGAAGGGUGCUGCAGAAUACACCCAGCGGGAGGUCCUCCGACUAAGGAAGAUACACCUCAAGAUCACCAGGGAAGGAGGAAAUGGGACUGAGUGAGGCGUCCGACCGGCGGAGGAGGAUCCCGAGCGGGAAGACGGGCCAAUGAAGGAGAUGCUGGAGAACGUCGGAGUCCAGAUUUGCUAUAGUGCUUAAUUCCUGCAAUUGUUUUCAUGUAAAAUAAAGGUUUUCUAAAAAUCAAAAAAUCUCGCGCUGUGUGUGUGUGUGUGUUUUCAAGGUGCCCUGAGCUCGUAUUAUAUAGAUCUGUAUAUCGGGUAACCAGCCCAUCGACACUCUCCCCUCUGCCGUGCUGAAUCUGCAAUUCGAUGCAGGUUUCUUGUUGCCAAUGUACCUUAAACUGGCCCGAAAAUAGGUUUCUUGCAUAUUGAUCGCUGUUGUUUGGUUUCCAUUCAUAGCUUACUUGCCUCUUUAAUUCACAUCUUGCCAGAGCGUCUUUGCAUUUAUUCUGUUUUCAAUGAAAAUGCUGAUUAUUUACUCUGCGAAAGGUCGGAAAGUAAUGAAAGAAUUCCAUCACAAUGUCCUAAAGACACUGGACAAAGACAAAGACAAGGUGAGGCCUUCAAAUGUCGUGUAUUUUCUGACCAAUAGUCCAAAUCCAAAACAUAUUUGAAUGUUCCAAAACAAAGAAAUACAGCAUAUUGUGACACUUAUUUUUUUAAAUAAUUGCGUUUUUGCUUGCUCCCUGUCCCCACAGUAUGCGUGUAUAGAUGUGGCAUGAGUGUGUAACUGUCAGCAUGUGCGUGCUUCUACAUGCCACAUGUAUGUGUGUAUGCAUUUGUGUGAAUGUAAAUAAAUGUCCAAGUUUUGCGCCAGUGAAGUUCAUGUAAAUUGAAAGUGUGACGCAUUUCAGUGUGCAAGUUUGCGUGCAGCCUGUGUGUGUGUGUGUGUGUGUGUGUGUGUGAGUGUCUUUGAGUGUGUAUCCUCCAUCUCACACGGGCUGAUGGGUACCAGACGUAUCCACGCUGCCUGGCGCCUGGUCUCCGGCCUUCUACAUGGAAACAGUUAGGAACUGUUACGUCAGCACGCGAUGGCGCUCUCCCUCCGCUUUUCCACUCGCACACACACAUUGAAGUGUGCUCACACGCACACACAUAUUUUCACAGAACACGCCCACUUUCUCGUCCUACUCUUUCCUCUCUUCCUGCAGCUCCUAGCCGGGCACCACCUUCUCAAACGCACACACACACACACACACACAACGCACACACACACAUCGCACACCAUCAUUGCUCGAAAAUUGCGUCAGCGCAGCAUUCCACACUUUUCCACGCAUCACCGAGGACGACAGACUCCAAACUGCAUUUUUUUGUCCUUUUUUUUUCCAUGGAAAGCUCUUGUCCUUAUAUAACUAUUUUGGCAGCCUGCUUGUCCUACAAUUUCUGUCUGUCUGUCCGCCUCCCUCUAACCCCUCUCUCAUCCCUCUCCAUCUCUCACGCAAGCGGGCGCAAACCUGCCGUGCAGAGCCGAGGUGGUUCCUCUCCCCUCGGUGCCGGGCCACCAGGAGUCCUGGUACAAACACAUGGGUCCAAUAUCCUCUUCCUGCUGCCGCCCUCGUGCAGCCAAUUUGUGAGUCUGUCUUCAUUUCAACGUGACUUUCAAGUCACCCCAGUGAAAUGAGCUGGAUAAAUAAAAGCAGGCAAAUCAUUAGGGCGCUUUCCUGCAGCAGCAGCACCCGUGUGUGUGUGUGUGUGAGGCCUGUGGUGAGGAGGAAACCCCGGCUGGCCCUGAGGCUCAGCAGGCCUCAGGUAAUCCAAUUUAAUGCCACAGCCACCUGCUUAUUACACACGGCAGCGUUACAGCAGGACGAGAGGGGGGCGUCUAGACGGUGCAAAUCCCCGGAAAAAUAAAGAAAGGCUGCAAGAAAGUCAUUGUUCUGAACAACCACAAAAGCGCUCACAGAAAUGGGCUAAAGUCACAAUCAGGGAUCCGUCCGGUUAUUUGACGUUCAAUAUCAUUUCUGUCUUCGGGGGCGACGGAGCAUGAAGGCGCUUAAUUUGUGCACAGACACCAGAAAGUAGAUGGAUGAGCUUUUUGUGAUUACGCAGGCAGCUGUUGUGUAACCGACUGCUGCCACCUACUGCUGGCUCCCAGUCAGACGCCGCGGCUUCCUGUCCCCCGGCGCGACGGUGAGAGCUCAGCUUCUGUUCUCAGCAACCCGCAUAAAAAAAUGAAUGGAUGUAAAAUAAAAAGAGAGAAAUCUACAUCUAGAAUCCCGUUCUGUGUGAAACGGUGAGGCCCUCCCUCUUUGCUUUUGAUGAGUGGGCGUGUGUGUGUGUGUGUGUGUUCAAAGUGCUGACUAAAGCAGCUGGUGGUGCUGACAUCUGUCUCUGUCUUUCUGAUGGUGGAACAAACUGCAGCUCUCUCCCAACAUCAGCCCUAUCAGCACAUCUCUGCCAGGGUCUGAAACCCCAUCAAUGCAUUGGCACACAUACACACACACACACGCACACGCGCACACACACACACACACACUGCUUCUGCCAUUGUAGUCGGAAACACAGGGCAUAUAUCCCAUAUCUCGGCGUCUGCACUUCCAAAUACCACAUCCCGGAUAACCACCGGAGAAGAUUUCAGGGGGGGUCGCGGCGCAGCGGACACAAGGUCAGACACGGUCUCAUCACUCGGGAUGGGGACAGUGUGAAAACCAGUAAGCGUUUACCCAAACUAUUCAAAGACAAAGCCAGUGAGGUACGAUUACAGCCCUUUGUUUAGUGUUUAAAGUUGCAAUGUACGGGAUUGAGUGCGUUCAUAUUGUAGAAAACAAGUUUUUCCUGUUUUUCUGCUUUAAAUUUGAAAAUCUUAUAGUUAGCAGAUUGAAUAAGGAUUUGUAUUUUGAAAUCAAAUAUACAUAAAAGAGAACACCCCUUUAAUCUUUGAUUGAGAGCAUCAAGAGCACAACAUUACGUUUUUUGAAAAUGGAAAUGUCAUUUAUUUCUUUAAUUUUUUUGUUUUUUUACAGCACUUAUUACAACAAAUCAAAAAUCUACAAAUACAAAAUGUCUUAAAUCCGACAAAUUUGAAACAAAAACCAAAUCUGUUCCCAGUCCAAACAACCAUCCAUAGGUCUGGAGUUUGAGGAGGACUUAACGAGGACAUGCUGACUCGUGUGUUGCAAAGACAAAGACUGAAUCUCACACGCAGCCCUGCUGACACACAGUGUGUGUGGCUGCCCUCCUGUUAUCAUUUCUUCUCUCCCUGCCCAUGACCUCAGAGCCACAUGCCAGCUAUUUCUGUUCAAUUGCCGCUGGCAGAAAGUGACUCCAUGUCUGAUUUGCUUGAAACAAAAGGGGGGGGUGUAGAACUCUGUGCAUGGAAAAUCUGCUGCAUUCAAACCGUAUGCUUUGGCUGAAUACUGAAGCUGGGUUUGGGUUUGAUGCAGCGGAGGCAGGACUCAUACCCUCAGUCUUUUUUUUUCGUCCAACAAGCCUUCUGGGUUCACUUCUAUCCAUAGGUUCUUAAAUAGGUUCUUCUCAGUAAUAAUUCAAUAUUGGCAUCUCUUGCCGCCUUGAUGGGACCGCUGGAGCCAGGUAGGUCGGCAGACGUGGUGAGUAUGUGGCUGAGACUGACUCAUACAGCGAGACAUCAGCCGUCAGCCUGGAGCCAGCGAUGACACAAGCACACACACACACACACAGACACACACACACACUCGUAUUAUGCACUGAAUCGACACAGACUUGGCGGUGCCGACAAUACGAAACCCAGUCACAUGAGUGGCCGUUAUCAUCACCUUUAAUUAUGUGAUCAUUGUUGAGAAAGUGAAAAAUGAUGAGACUGUUGACGGUAAAGAAACAGACACACACGGCCGACGUAAAGCCAUUCGGGUCAAUGCCCUCGUAUUGAGAUGAUGUGCUGAUCUUAAGUGGUUGUCCUUAUAAUAUCGGCAGGAUUUGGGAACCAAACACGGUUCAUAGUUUUAGCUGUAUGGGUGCAGCUACUAGUUGCUGCGUAAUUUAUGUAAACACACACGCGCACACACACACUUCUCGUUGCCUCUAUUAAACAUUUAUUAUUCAUGCAAGAGUAAUGUGAGGGGUCUCUGUUUUAAUGCCUCCUAAUGGCUUUUUGAGUUACUGCUGAAAGCUAUGGAUGAAUCACAUCAGUCACCGGGGAGCCGGUUCCUCACUCACGGAUCUAUAGGUAUGUGGUGUGCGCUCCUGUUUGUGUGUGUGUAUGUGUGGGAUUCUAUAAAAAAAUAUAUAUAUACAUAUGUGGGUACUUUGUAAUAUGUUAGUGUAUUAGGAGUUUGUGUGUUACAGAAUGCACCACGCAGUCUAAACAAACGUCAAAACUGUCGUGUGUAGAAAUGGUGAGUCGUUACACGUGUUUGAUAUACUUUUGUCACAAAGGGUCAAAAGUGAAGGGGCGGGGCAUACGCAAACCAGUCAAAUGGUCUGCAAUGAGGAACACUAUUUGUUUCAUUUGUGAUGUCAUUGCAGGAAUGAACAGGUGUAAUGAAUCCAACUGAUAAUUACUCCUCAUUACAAAUCACUUUGGGGUUUCAGUUUGAAGAGGCUUAUUAAGCCACUAUUGAGGUAAUUGUUCUUUGAAAAAAAGCCCAUUAACGUGUUUCACGGAGGGCUGUUGGAUUGCUUUACGUUUCAUAGUCUCUCAGCUUAGACGGUGUAUAGGGCUGCUAUGACGUAGGUUUCUCUCGUGCGCCACACCGACUGUGACGAUGUGCAUUGGUAACAUAUCGACCCCUGCACCGCUCUGUAUUGACAGGGCAGGGGAUGGAUUUCAGGAAGUGGCCUUGGGUCACUAAGAGGAGCACCUGACCGGAGCCCGGCUUGUUUUCCCACCGAGCAAAUCUCUGUAAAAAGAGCCUUGCGAGAGGCAAACACAGUCCGCUGGGCUGCUCUCUGAGGUCAUUGCAGACUGAGCAUGUGGGUCGGCCUGGUCACAUUGCUGUGCUGUCAUGGAUUUGGUAACGCAAAGUGUGUCAUAAGUUGUUGGAGUCAAACAGAGUUAACGGGGGGGCGAAGGAGACUGUCAGUGCUGACAGCAAUAGGUUGUAACAAUGGCUCUGCUUCUAUCCCCCAGCAAGCCACAACAGAGCGACGGGGAGUCAGCGUCCACAAUGCCACGAGCCGGAGACUGAAGCAGCCAAAUAACAUUCAGCCAUCAAUCCUUUCAUUUUCUACACGUGUGCAUUUCCUACUGUGAGCUCUUAAAACAAAAGGCUACAAGUGACCAAAGCUUAUAAUUUGCUUUGGUAAAUGGUUAUAUAGGUACAACCAGCAGGACACAGGCUGUACUGAUGCACAGAUAUAACAAACUGCAUCAUCCUUGGCAAAACUGAUUUUUAAUUGGAUCGUUUAUGUGCAUGAUAUCAAUUCACAUCAAAUGAUUGACUGAAUUAUUUAAAAAAGGCUUUUUUCAUUACCUCAGGUUUUAACAUGGCUGUCUUAAAUGUAUGCAUAUUUGUGAAUGUUCUCCAUGUUCUACACAGGCUUUGUGUCAACUAACGCGCCACACUGACCCCGUGUGGCCUUUGUGAGCAUUACAUCAGGUUUGAGGAUUCCACCGGCUUCCUGUCAAUCAUUGCUGUAGCUCCGCCUCUCGCUGACGUGAUUGGACGCAGCUGGAGCGUCAACGAGCCAAUGACGUGGCUUCGCUGCCUGUUAACAGGGCUUUUUCUGAAUGCCCUCUAUGUCACCUGUGUGCCUCUGUUAUUUUUAGAAGCCCGAGGAUGCUGUCAGGAGAAAUGGAGAGGGCGGGACACCAAAAGGGAAGAAGAAAGGAGUCUCCGGACUGACGACAAUCCAGGGUGUCUCGCUCUUAAUGGUCUCUCAAAGAAGGAGGCAGACGGGAAGAGAGGAGACGUUUUUACAGGGCAAAGUGCAUAUUGAUCCCAUCUCUGCAAAAUGCAUCAGUCUACUUGAUAGGUUUCAUAAAGGGGUAAAUGGCAAUAGAAGACGAGAACGAGAAUAGAAGCUCUCAAAAGCUACAUUGAAUAAAUGGUUAGAGUUAAGGCACAUUGGGUAGAUGCAUUACACAUAUUGUACCAAAAUCGAACAAAUUAACUGAAAGAUGAAGUAAAAUGUGGUCCCUGGAUGACAUUUUUUGAUCUUUUAAGUCAGAUGCAGUAUUUGGGAUUUGAUUGUACUGAAGUAAAACCAGCAGAAACCCCUCACGUUUGAUAAGCUUUAACCAGCACUGUUUGGCUAUUUAUUUGGGCAAAUUUCUUUGAAAAUGAAUCAAUUAUCGGGAGGAGGCACUUGGCUCUUUAGACUAUUGCAAUUGUAACCAACACUAAUUGAUAAAAUGUGACUAAAUGAAGACUUAAGACUUUGGUGUAGGACAAAACAUAACUAUAAGUCCCCUCCGCCUCUGGACAAGCGAUGCUGAGAGCAAGCCGAGCACCAUGGCUGAUAGUAAAUAACAAUUUAGCCAGUGAUACUUGUAACUGGCCCACCUGCACAGGUUCACAGUGAAGAGUCAGUGCACACGAAUGCCUUC